Taeniopygia guttata (zebra finch) is the source of this 8794-nucleotide long non-coding RNA. Lineage: Eukaryota; Metazoa; Chordata; Aves; Passeriformes; Estrildidae. The record is from Ensembl.
AAAAAAAUUUAUUUCUCAAAUGAAUACAGUUCGUUUACAAUACACUCAAGUUGAUGGUAUCUAUAGCCAGCAGAGAUCGAUGACUGCUGUGUCCUAUACACAGUCGUACAGAGGUUACAGAUGCCUACGAGAGGGAAGGAACAGUGAAAGAAGUCGACAUUUUACUGUGCUGGAAGGAAAGCAACUCUUGCAACAGGUAGAAAAUUUUGGCAAGAACAAUUUGUCCAGAAAGGGAGAAGGGGCAGAGGACACGGCUUCUGCUUAGCAAGUACAUCUCAAACACCGACACGUUCCCUCCCACCCCGCACGGCUGCAGCCCACGGUACAAAGAGGCACACAUGGUCAAGAUGGUUAAGUAAAAAUAAAGGCUUUUACCAGUUUGUUUGCCAUCCAUCUACAAUCUAUUUGUGCAACGUCUCAAGUCACAGCUCUACUUUAUUCUUGAAACAUUUCCCUUUUGCUUCGGAAGCGCCCAGGACCUUUUACGGUGGGAACACAUUCACGCUCCUGCCGAAGCAAUGGGACACCAAAACAGAGGAGCAGUUACCAGCAUAUGAGAAAGAGCAGACACAUGGGACAGGAUCAAUCCACCAGACUGGUUUAUUAGAAUUUUAUUCAGAAAAGGAAUCCCAAACAGCAUGACUUUUUCUUUUUUUGAGCAAUUUAAAUCUGUGGUAUUAAGUACGCAAAAUUUCUAUGUGUGCCAGUGCUUCCAGCAGUCUCCAAAACGAACCCAGCUCACUGGCCAGUGAGCACACACAAUGCCAACUGAGCCACCUUCUGAAAAUCCUUUAAUGUUAGCUCGUAACCAAAUGCUACCAAUUACUGUGAAAGCUCUGAAGUAACACCUGCUGACAAUGUCCUUGUCCAUGAUCACACACCUCCAGCCACGUGAACAGCCCAUUUUUUCCUCCACCAAGCACUGUUUAACCAUGAGGCUACCUGGGGAGCUGAACUGCUUAUACCAAGGGAAGAGACAAGAACAACAGGAAGGAAGGUCUGUCCCCUGUGAGCUCAAAGCGUCACUGCUCCCCUGGAAUGCUGAUCUGUACACCAGUGCCUGUAAAACCAACAUUUCUGACCCAAAACUCGCUCUGCCCGCCCCACUGCUGUGCUGCAGCUCACUUUUCACACCUGCCUGCAAACAGACACCAAGUACAAUGAGCUAGAAGCAGGUUUUUCUACAGGAAAACAAUGUGUAGCUGUCUCAAGGAGAGAUUCAACACUGAAAACUGCAAAAAUGAGAAGAUUUCACUGAAAAACAGAAAUCAGGUUCAAAAAAAAGUAAACACUACAGCCACAGGAGAGAAGUGAUGCACAAAAGCGAGUACCCAGAAGAAGCCAUUCUGCACUGCAAAGUUGCCAGAAGCCAAACUCCAUCUCUGGCCUUCUUCCUCUCUCCAAGUUUUGUUGAUGUUCAAUUAUCCUCACUACUUCAGGAGCAAUACUCAAGUUUUCACUUUGUUGGCACACCAUCAGGUUCCAAAACCUCCACAAGUUCUUUAAAUUCAGCAUUGCUCCAGUGGGCAUCACUUUGCUAUUACAUCUGAGUGGACACUACCUACCAAGACACGUAUUUUCUAUCAAAGAAAUUGGUUUUGAAGAUAUUUAAGAGAUUUGCAAGUGUAAGCAAAAUGAAAGUUUAUUAGUAACUAUUGUCAAAGCUAAGUUUUGCACACCUGUACUGAAAUGGGUUGUGGAUCUAUGAUUUAUGGGCAAGCAUGGCCCUAAACUCAACAUACAGCCAUAUUUUUGUGUUGCUAGCUAGUGUUAUAGCAUUAAUUUUCCAACUGCCAAAUGCGUUUGAAAGACCUGUGUAAUUCUCAGCAAUUAAAAAAAACUCCUUUCAUUUAAAUAAACUUGCCCUCUGAGCAUCUGUUUUACAACAAAUGGGUUAAAGAAAGCAAGAUGGCAAACACAGGACUGACCCCAGGGGGUUUCAGCCUCAGGCAGAGCUGCAAUGGGGUGGGAGGGAAGAGCUCUGGCUCCCAGCAGGGAGGGGCUCCAACAACUGGAUUCACUGGAAGAUGCAAAUAUGCAAGAAUUGCACAAGUUUGUAUCACAGGGUUACCACUGUCACAACACGGUUCUCCCUCAGAUCACCCAGUAAGUCACUCUCAUAAGGUGAUGUGAAUCAUCACAAACAUUUUCUAGAUGAAAAGUGAGGCAGAAUCAUUUCCUCAGGUCAGAAAUGGAACCUGCUUCAGAGCCAGCUGGUUCCAAAGCUCCUGGCUGGACAGCUUGCCAAUGUCUCAAAACGGCUUCAAAUAGAACCUGUUGGAAAAGCUCUUCCAUCUUGGUCUGAAAAUGCACUUUUUUUAGCAGCUUCAAGCCCAAACUGGCAUCUAAGCACACAUGUGCUUACUUCUGCACAGUGCAGUGUCUACAAUGGGGAGCUGGUGCCAGAGGAUGGGGGACUGUUCCUCUUCCCACACCCAAGUGAUCACAGGAUUCUGUCCCCAGACAUCGCCACCCCUGCUGCUGGCAAACGUCUUUCUGAACUCAUCUGUGACAUUUAAUCCUCACCUCCACAUCCCCACCGAGUCAGAGCUUUGCACUGCUCCCCAACAUUCACUGGACAACACUCCCCAUGUCCCUGCAACCUCCAAGUAGGUGGAGAGGGGAGAGGCAAUGGAGUGUAUGGAAAGCUGCAGGAGCACAGUAAAGAGCGAGGACAUCACUGGACAGGCAACAUUCAAAUAAAGGCAGAAUUAAUGAUUCGCAUUAGAUAAACAUAUCAAGGUUAAAUUUUAUUUUAAAAAAUUGCAAGUCUACCAGGAAGUAGGUUUCUUUGAUGACAUUACUCUCCAGAAACCAUUUAUUUUAAAAGCUUCUUCUCUCUGGAUAGUUCUAAUUCACAAAUAAUUCAGGGCUCACUUUGAUUAAGUAAUUCAACACAAAACCAACUCUGACCAAGGAUUUUGAGCUUUAAAAACAGUUCAAGAAAAAUACUAACCAUCCUACCAAUGCAAAUACUAGUUUUUCCAGCUCUGUUCCUGGUCAGAAAAAGGCACAUACUUGCUCUCAGUGAGUUCAAGUCCUACACAAAAAGUUCAGGAUACCCAAGCUCGUGUCUAAUGUCCCUGAAAGGUGUGAGCUAAUCACAGCUCACCUGACACCUACCCACCUCCUACCCAGUCCAUUGUUUCUACAGGCUUUUGUCACUAUCCCACCCCCACAUCCAGAGCUGAUCUGUGCUCCACGCAGCCACAGCAUCCUCAACAUGGCCAAUUCCAUACAGGCAGUGAGGGAGAGACCCUGCUCAGGGAAUGGGGAGGUAGGUAAGAGCUGAGUAAGAGCAGAGCAACUACAGUGCUACAACAAAAUGACCUCUACACCUGCCUGCUGCUCUUCUGGGAGCCAGGCACACCUCCAGGCAACCAGGAAUCUCUCAGGGCAUCUGUGCUGUACAGAAGGGCCACAUAUUUCUCACAAAAGCCCUCGGGUCGGUGCUGUCUGAACCAGCAGAUCCACUGGAAGCUGCAUGUGUUUCACCCAAAGUAAGGGAUUCCAAGGUUUAGAUAAAACCACAGUUCUAUUUCAGGGGGCAGCUGCCACCUGCUUGCAGCACAGUCCUGGAGAAGAACAACCACUCCUAAAAAUAUACAGGAACAUGCUUUUUCCCCUCAUAUAUUAGUUUUUGAAUUAACAGAGUAGUUUGGGUUGGAAGGGAUCUUUUAAAGCUCAUCCAGACAAACCCCCCUGCUGUGACCUGGGACCUCUCCAUCAGGUUGCUCCAAGCCCCACCCAAUCUGACACCCUGGAUGUUUUCAGGGAUGGGGCAACCACAGCCUCUGGGCAACCUGUGCCAGUGUUUCAUCACACACUAAAUCUAAUUUGAACCGACAUCCCUCAGUUUAAAACCAUCACGCCAAAUCCUCUGGCAAAAAACCCUCCUAAAAGUUCACCCCCAUUGUUCUUACAGGCCUUUCCAAGCACUGAAAGGUACUGAAAGAAAACACCAGCUGUCAAGUUUUGCUUUUGUAUUUACUACAGGAGGCAAACAAGGCUCUGCUGCUUCUUCAUUAGCGUCAAUAUUCUGUUUUGAUGUUCCCACUUGAUAAUUUUUAAAGGAGUUUGAAUAACUGCUACAGUGCUCUGUUACUUUGAGUCUGCCCUUUCUGCCUCUUCCAGCUUUUUUCUUUCCCUUGUUGAACUAUUCCAAGAGCCACAGGAUCCCCAUCUCCUGGAGGAGGUCCUCCCUGUCCACCUGCAGCCGCUCCUUGUUGAGUUUUGGUUUGCUGUUGUUUGGUUUUUUUUUUGAAGUAUUUUAAUAAUGUCUAUUUUCAGUAGUUUAUUAGCUCUUAUUUAAUUUGGGUACUUUGAACCAUCAUGCACCCUCCAAUGACUUCAACAGAAAUAUUUCUGCUGGAAUUAAACAUCACAUAUGGCAGCUCAUGGACACCAAGGCAAGAGAUUUGUGUCCAACAGAAAACUGCUUCAUCAGGUGCAAGUUCAUUCCUUUUGAUAGAAAAAAGAAGCAGCAACCUCUUUCUAAAUCUCAACAGGUUCAGUAUCAGCUAAAUAUAGAGAGAAACAAAGCAGCUGGUUGACAGGCAGGGGAGGAGAUGGAGGGUAUUGCUGCAAACAAGCUCAUGGUGCAAGAUUUUUGGCCCUUUUUAGUCUAAAAGAUAGAAACAGCUACUACUAAAAGGGUCAGGAGACACAUAUUUGGCUCAGAAUUUAGACUGAAAAACGCUUUCUAAACCCCAGCCUAGUAACAUAGAGAAAUUGGAAAUAUAAAAGAAUUGAACAUCAUGGCAAGCUUAAUACCAACACAGUGGCAUUGGGCACUGCAAUAAGACAAGAAAGUUGGUACAAGCUACAAGAGACAUUGGAUUAUGUCUCGAACUUGAAUCAGAAGAAAUUACAGAGCAAAGAGAGUCAACUUGUGCCUGGGGAGCUGCAGCAUCCCCUCAACAACGAGGUGUGGGCAACUCAGCAAGGGCACUGCCCAAUGCUGGGACUCUGAACCCCACGUAUUUCGUUGAUGAUGUCCAGAAGCUCUGCUUACUCCUAGAAAAAGUCUGGACAUGAACAUAUUCCUGCAAAGAGAUCACUUGGAAUUAUUCAGUGAGUUCUGUGGUUAAGCUCCUGAUAUUCAAAAAUAUCCUGACAUCAAGUUAUUCCACAUCUUGAAUGCCCAACACUAUAAACAGUAAUAAAAUGCACAAAAUCAUUUUAGUUAUAGAGAAACAAGGUACUAAUGAAGCACUUGUCUAUGGCAAGCGGGUUAAUUGUCUCCUCUCAAACACAACUGGUUAAGCCAACUUUCUUUGGAGAAGAAAACCAAAACAUUCAGAAACUUCUCCUGCCUAAAAAUAAGUGUUAAAAGCAACACACAGAGCAGACACACAGACCUAUGAGCUGCACACAGACCACCAAUAAAUAUACAGAAACAUCACAACAAAGGACAAGGCUCAUCAUAAAAGAAAAGUCCCAUAACUGCUACUCAGACCGAUACCAAAGGAAAGGGAAGUGUUUUUUGCAGGCAUGUGCAAGCACAUUACAGUGUCAAAGCACAACUUUGCUAUUAUUAUUACUUUAUGCAGCAUUACAAGGUUACUGAGGUGCAGUGUUUAAUAGUCUAGUCUACAGCUUUUCCUGACUGCAGGAACGCUCACCAAACUCACCACAGACCCGCCCCCCUCGUGGCAUCACCCGGCCACCAAGCUGCUCCCACGCAGAGCAUCCAGCUCCCAGCUGGCAGUCAGAAGACACACGGAUCCAUCCCAAACACACACGAGCCAUGUGAGGACCAACCAUCUCCCAAGCCACCCUCCUAAGAUCCCUUCAGUUUGUCUCCAGCUUUGGGAACGUGCUUCUCCUAAGAGAAGACAUCCUUCAGGAGUUACAGAUUCCUUUCAGCACCAAUCACGUCCCCAUGGCUUCUCCCACACCCCAACCCCCAGUCCCCUCAAUAUGAAGAGGUAAAUCACAUUGAUCAAACCGAACCUAACCCCAUUGAUCAAACGCAAACCUACUGGCUGAAUUUGGUGAUCGCUCCUCAAUGCCUCUCCCUCCAAAGGAAAACACCUUCCUGGUUAUUCUUGGUCCUGACUCAGAGAAGCUGAUGCUUGAAAGUACCUAAAAGAUACCAUCAAACACUUGGCAUUUUCAAUAAUUUAUCUUAAAUUUGCAGCCACGUACAACUGGAAAAUAAAAAUCUACAGCACCAUCUUCUAAAAAGGCACUUUCUGAGGACUGUCUUGCUUAAAAAAAAUAAAAGUCACUCCAAGUUUUAAACAGUGGAACUGCUUUGUUUGAAAAGGACCCUACGGUAACAACCCGUGUCAGGUGAGGGGGUACCUCAGACAGAUGUGAAAGGCCAGGGCACGUGGGAUGGAAAGUGGAUGGAGUCUCCCCAACACCCUCAUUCCUGCCAAACCAAUGCUUUGAUAUUUUCCCUCGCACGCCUCUCCCUUACAACUCCUUCCCCACCAUAUGCACACCUUUGUCUACUCAGAGGACAACAAUUUGGGUUUUAGUGUCACGGAGAUCUGGACUUUUGAGAUUCUGCUUGGGAGGUAAGAUGUAGGAUCCUGUAUCCAUCUUGCUCAUACUUCAACUACAGAAAGUACAAAAUCUUCUACCAGCAGAAAGCAUCAACGAGCUCAAGCUCUAACCACAAUAUUUUACAAAAACAAGGAGUGAAUUGGCUAAGUGAAGUUUGAUUUCAACAUGUGCCAAACCUAAAAUGAUAUUCCAAACAUGCAGCAUCAACCUAAAGUACCAUCUUUGGGAAGAAAAGACAGACAGAAAUCUUUCCCUUUGACACCCCUAUGGAAUUUUUUACUAGAUCCAAACAGCCUGCCAGUAGCAGCCAUGAAACUCCACAGCACUGAAAGGGACAGAGUAUCUGCCCAGCCUGACCAGAGACCACAAUGGCCAUUUAGAAACCACCACUUUUGAAAACUGAAUUUACAGGUUCAACACACAUAAUCUGAGCUUUUGAUUCCUUGGUUAUAAAAGUGCUUUGAGUAAGGUUCUAAACCCUCAGUUCACAAAACAGGGAAAAUACCAAAAGUGGACAAGAUAUGAAGAAAGUGUAAGAAAAGGGAAGGAAAAUAAAAAAAAACAGGCCUUAAGCUUGAGCUUGGAAUUUCACCAGAGUGAACUUUAAGACUAGUAGAAAACCAGUAUUUGUAGCUGGAAUUUUUACAGCAGACUACAUGGUAUCUCAUGUUGAGCAUUUUAUAGGACAAGUAUUUGUACAUGAAGAAGUGAAAAUCAUUUAGGACCAAGAGCAUCUUGAAACAAUUUGACUGACAACUUCCAGAAACCCAUUUUACUCCUGAAAACCAUUUCUGUGGCCAAACUCCCAAAAGAAGACCGGAAUGAAUACUAUAAAAAUAACUUUUGGACACGUGUAACCAGAUGACACAUGGAACAGUGACACAGCGAUCCUGAGUCAAAUGGCCACGGCUCAAGUCCCUAGAAAGGGAGAAAGGCGACUUCCAGCGGAGCCACUCCUCCUGUUGGCAAAUGUCGCGAGUUUAACGCCUCAACCACAAACAUUCUCUGAUUCUCUCCAGCUCUGGGUCUAGCAGUGGCCAGGUGGGAGGUUUGGGCAGGGCUGGCUGGGUGAGGAGGGGCUCGGUGAUACCCUGGGCCUGACCCCACCACGGGAGCACUUAGUGGCACUUGUUCAGUACAAGUGAGGUCUCGGUGCAGUGUCUGAGGAGAUGGGAACUACUUUUCUCCCCAGGCAGAAACCCGAGGCCGGUGUCUGCAAAGCAAGAAGAGCCAUCAGCCUGUGCCCACAUCCCUCUUUGGACUAUCCACAGCCAGCUCUCGGCCAGAGAGGGGGAUCUGCUGUGCCACUCAAGGUUUCCUCAAACAGCACAUAAAAUUUGAGAUUUUUUUUUUUCUUUUUCAAGGAGAGCAGGUACAAAAAUAAAAGAAAUCCAUAUACUCUGAAAAUAUACUGGAAACUGCCACCACAGAUGAGGUACCAUUUAUCCCGACCCCCCACCCCCAAACUGCAAACAUCAAAAUAUAUAUGUUUUUAAACAAAAGAAGAAUAUCUGGCUAUUUAAUCUCAGUUAAAAUGACAGCACCCUUUGUUACACUUGAUAUUUCACACCAUUAACUCUCUUUUGAAAAAAAACCAAGAUAUCUAACUAACCUUGAUUCCUUGCUUUUCUCCUCAUUCCUUAGUGCAGUAAUUGUCCAUCUCCAUUUAAAUAAAUAUAGCAGCUACAGCAUCAUAAAUGUGUGGCCCUCACAACGUCAGUAACUUGAUAUCGUAAUACAAAGAAGUAUCGGCACUUGACGUAGAUAUUUGCAAAACCGAGAAGAGAGAUUAAAACUUCCAAAUACUCUUCACAUGAAAACCAGGUACAAUGUUACCUUGACAACUGAAGUCACUUUGCCAAUGAAGUUUCUUUAGUUUUUGGUGAAAGUAGUGAGCAAAAAAGCUUCUCAAAUCCGAGUCACCAAGCGUGGGCAGGGUGAGAAGCAGCUUUGAAAGGAGAGCUAGAAGGCUUUAUAAAAAGGAAUUUUCAGCUAAAUGCCAGAAGUCCACAAGAGCUCUUUGUAAAAUAGUUUAAAAAAAAAAAAAGUUCUCAGUUUCAAAAGAAAUUUCUGUAUAAAGCUUAAGCUGAACCUUUUACAAACAGCAUUGCUACUGAGAGAGCUUUAGGAGAAAAGUGUCAGGUCACAGACUGGGAAAAACAUCUGAGAGACUCGCUGAGAAACCACCUUGCUCAAAGGUCUCUGUCACACCUCCGUCCCUGCACCAGGUGUGCCCAAAGGCACCCACAGGGACAGGGCACUCCAAGCUGGGACCUCC